GGGUUAGUAUUUAAUAGGUAGAGGUUUUCAUUGUCAUUGAAAAAAAUAUCGGUUCGAUCCCGAUCUAACCCG
Molecule: transfer RNA, 72 nt
Filed under: Gomphillus americanus
Lineage: Eukaryota; Fungi; Ascomycota; Lecanoromycetes; Ostropales; Graphidaceae
Description: tRNA-Asp
Rfam family: tRNA
About the family: Transfer RNA (tRNA) molecules are approximately 80 nucleotides in length.
Source: RNAcentral